RNA transcript from Salarias fasciatus (jewelled blenny), 1854 nucleotides. It is a transcript of the gene named tryptophanyl-tRNA synthetase 1, with no coding region annotated. NCBI's taxonomy places the organism in Eukaryota, Metazoa, Chordata, Actinopteri, Blenniiformes, Blenniidae. The record is from RefSeq and is a predicted model, not a curated record. The transcript is spliced from 12 exons.
UCCGCCAGGCGGAACUGACGAUCAGCUUGUUUCUGGGGAGGAUUUGAAGCGAACACAAGCUGACGCAAGUUGAAUGAGCUGUCAGCUGCAUGUGAGCAGACUGUCAGGGUGGACAUCAUGACGGACUCAGACGGAGCCCGGACUGCCAUGGAGCUGUACGAGCAGCUGAGCGCUCAGGGAGACCGAGUCAGGAGCCUGAAGACCGCCAAAGCCGAGAAGGCUGAGAUCGAUGCAGCGGUCCAGCAGCUGCUCAAGCUGAAGGUGGACUAUAAGACCCUGACGGGUCAGGACUACAGGGCAGGAAGUCCGCCCUCGGACGCCGCGGCAGACAACGGGCCGGCGACGGGAGCGGCGGACGACGGCGACACGGUGGACCCGUGGAACGUGUCCACCACCAACGCCAAGGGGGUGGACUACGACAAGCUGAUCGUGAGGUUCGGCAGCAGUAAAGUGGACCAGGACCUGGUGGACCGGAUAGAGCGGGCGUGUGGACAGCGAGCGCACCGCUUCCUGCGGAGAGGCGUCUUCUUCUCACACAGGGACAUGCACCAGGUGCUGGACGCCCACCAGAAGAACAAGGCCUUCUACCUGUACACCGGCCGGGGGCCGUCCUCGGAGGCCAUGCACCUGGGACACCUCAUCCCCUUCAUCUUCACCAAGUGGCUGCAGGACGUGUUCGACGUGCCCCUGGUCAUCCAGCUGACGGACGACGAGAAGUUCCUGUGGAAGGACCUGAGUCUGGAGCAGUGCCGCCGGUUCUCCACAGAGAACGCUAAAGACAUCAUCGCCUGCGGCUUCGACGUCAACAAGACCUUCAUCUUCUCGGACCUGGACUACAUGGGAGCGUCUCCGGACUUCUACAGGAACGUGGUGAGGAUCCAGAAGCUGGUGACCUUUAACCAGGUCAAAGGCAUCUUCGGCUUCACGGACAGCGACUGCAUCGGGAAGAUCAGCUUCCCGGCCGUCCAGGCCGCUCCCUCCUUCUCCAGCUCCUUCCCCCAGAUCUUCGGGGGGAAGAAGGACGUCCAGUGUCUCAUCCCGUGCGCCAUCGACCAGGAUCCCUACUUCCGGAUGACCCGGGACGUGGCUCCGAGGAUCGGGUACCCCAAGCCCGCCCUGCUGCACUCCACCUUCUUCCCCGCCCUGCAGGGGGCGCAGACCAAGAUGAGCGCCAGCGACUCCAACUCCUCCAUCUUCCUCACCGACACCGCCAAGCAGAUCAAGAACAAGAUUAACAAACACGCCUUCUCUGGAGGGAGGGACACGGUGGAGGAGCACCGCCAGCUGGGGGGGGACACGGACGUGGACGUGUCCUUCAUGUAUUUGACCUUUUUCCUGGAAGACGACGAGCAGCUGGAGAAGAUCAGACAGGACACCGUAUAGUCCGCUCCACCAGGGUCCUGGAGAGCCAGGGUCCAUCGUGCAUCGCUUUGUCUGCCGUCCCUGGAAACACGUGUGUUCAACACGAUGGUUUUCAAUCGGACUGAAAAAACUCCCAGUGAACCGGACCAGUGAGGUGUGGGUAAAGCUGGGGUUCCUCAGGGAGCUGUUCUGGGACGCUGCUCUGGCUCUUCUCACAUGGUGGGUCCCGGUCUCUGUUGGAGGAUUCCAGGAUUUGAAGACCCCACAGACCCCUCUGCGGGGAAGGCUGAUGGCCGGACGUGUCCAGCGAGACUCACUGCUGCUCAUAUGAAGGCGGCUGAAGUCCGCCGAGGACUACAGCAGUGGAGCCCUGCUGACCGGAGAACUAAAGAAGAUCCUGAUCGACACCCUGCAGCCGCUGAUCGCCCAGCACCAAGAGAGACGCCAGCAGGUCUCCGAGGAGACGGUGCAGCGCUUCAUGACGCCCAGACG